CAUGUUUGGCACAAGACUUUCGCUCACAAGCAGGACACAUACAAAGUUUAGCCAGUAUCCAGGGCUCCUCAGAUCUUUGCUUCUUGUGAGGUAUAACGAAGAUGGUCUGUAAAGGUUGUACUACAAGAAACCCAAGGAAUACCUCUGUUCUCUUUCCUGUAACCCCUGAGGCUCACACUUCCAAUUCUGAGGAAUAAUCAACUAAAUGAUAUGUCCAGAGCGUAUGACGUCAUCUUUACAUUACCACAGAUCAUGGGGGAGACAAUACAGGCUUCUCCCCAGCCUUCUAAUCCCUCAUGGGGUGUGAUGUGUCAUGGAUCUUCGUUCCAUGGUGAAGUCCCGAUGGACCUUACCUGAUGAAAGGUCUGGAGAGGGCCAGAACGGGUGACAUCAUCAAAUGACCAAGAGCACCUAUAGAGCUAUUGAAUGACAACUGUGGAGAUGAAAAAGCCAUCAGCAAUUGCUGAUUGGUUAUCCAGUGUCUUACCUCCUGUCAAUCAUCUGAUAGCACCUCCUCAGCCAGCUGAUGCCAGGCAUCCUCCUGCGAGGUGUGGCUCCGUUCAGGUAGGGCCUGAUGACCUGCAUGUCUAUCCUCUGCUCCUGGUCCCCGAUGACCACGGUCCUCCAAAGGCGUUCAGCGCUGUCCUCCUCUUCGUGGUCGCCAGGCAGACUCUUGGCGCUCGCCACUGGGGUGUCAUCUAACAGAAUAAUACGAGUCCCCUUGUCUAACCUUCCCACUCCAACUCGUUGCUGUUGUUGAUAAAUUCAAGCGAGUCAUUGUCGUCAGGGGUCUCAAUGUCAUCCACGUUGAUGUCCUGGUCAUCGGGCGUUUCCAGGAAGUCAUCUGAGAGCACUGAUCCCUCACUCUGGUCUAGGGACAAGUUCAUCUCCGGAGCCACGAGCGUACGGCGUUUCCGAUGGACGGCAGACUCACCCACAUUCAGAGUGGUGGGCGGAGCUAGAAGUAGGAAAUUAUCUUGACAAAAGGUCCUUGACCACACUUUAUAUUAAAGUCUACCACUGCAGAUUUUUGAAUAAAAAUAAAUUUGGGGGUUUUCUGCAAUGUGGGGUUGUUUGGGAUGUAUUUAGAUGUUAUUAAAAUCUUUGCUUUCUGUUCUUGGAAAGACCCACAGACAGCAUUGAUAACUUGUUAUUCCGGUGCCAUUGUACAUGAUAGGAUGCAGUGGUUUACAACAAAUGUAUCAAUAAAGCCCUUCAAAGAAUAAGAGGUCUAAACAAACUGGACAAAUAAUCAAUAAACAUACAUUUAU
Molecule: long non-coding RNA, 1271 nt
Organism: Hypomesus transpacificus
Lineage: Eukaryota; Metazoa; Chordata; Actinopteri; Osmeriformes; Osmeridae
Exons: 6
Source: RefSeq, a predicted model, not a curated record